Molecule: small nuclear RNA, 107 nt
Filed under: Myotis davidii
Lineage: Eukaryota; Metazoa; Chordata; Mammalia; Chiroptera; Vespertilionidae
Source: RNAcentral
GUGUUCGCUUCAGCAGCACAUAUACUAAAAUUGGAAUGAUACAGAGAAGAUUAGCAGGGCCCAUGCACAAGGAUGACAUGCAAAUUCGUGAAGCCUUCCAUAUUUUU